Molecule: ribosomal RNA, 1476 nt
Filed under: uncultured organism
Description: bacterial SSU rRNA
Rfam family: Bacterial small subunit ribosomal RNA
Source: RNAcentral
UGACGGUGGGGUUUAGGCAUGCAAGUCGCGGGAGAAAGUCUUCGGACGAGUACACCGGCGGAAGGGUGAGUAAUGGCACGUUAACGUACCCACGGGACCCGGAUAAUUCCCGGAGAACGGGUUGUAAAACGGGAUGUUGCUUGGCGUCUGCGGGCGCCAUGUGAAGGCGAUGGGACCCUUCGGGGCCAUCGGCCUGUGGAGCGGACGUGCUCCGAUUAGCUAGUUGGUGGGGUAAAGGCCUACCGAGGCGAUGAUCGGUAGCCGGCUUGAGAGGGUGUCCGGCCACACUGGGACUGAGAUACUGCCCAGACUCCUACGGGAGGCUGCAGUCGCGAAUCUUCCACAAUGGACGCAAGUCUGAUGGAGCCACGCCGUGUGCAGGAGGAAGGCCCUAGGGUUGUAAACUGCUGUCAGGAGGGGGGAACCGCCGGAUUCCAACAGGAUCCGGUCUGACUGCCCUCCAGAGGAAGCUCCGGCUAAACACGUGCCAGCAGCCGCGGUAAUACGUGUGGAGCGAGCGUUGUUCGGAAUUACUGGGCUUAAAGGGUGCGUAGGCGGUGUUGUAAGUCAGUGGUGAAACGCGUCGGCCCAACCGACGUCCUGCCAUUGAUACUGCAUCACUUGAGUGUGCUAGGGGUGAGCGGAACGAGUGGAGUAGCGGUGAAAUGCGUAGAUAUCACUCGGAAGACCGGAGGCGAAGGCGGCUCACUGGGGCACAACUGACGCUGAGGCACGAAAGCGUGGGUAGCGAACAGGAUUAGAUACCCUGGUAGUCCACGCCGUAAACGAUGAGCACUGGAUGACUGCGGAGUGUGCCGUGGUUGUUGUAGAAAAAUUGUUAAGUGCUCCGCCUGGGGAGUAUGGUCGCAAGAUUGAAACUCAAAGGAAUUGACGGGGGCUCACACAAGCGGUGGAGGAUGUGGUUUAAUUCGAAGCAACGCGAAGAACCUUACCAGGUCUUGACAUGCUGGGAUCAACCGUGUGAAAGCACGGGGCUUGCCCAUCUCGGGUGUAACCAGCACAGGUGCUGCAUGGCUGUCGUCAGUUCGUGCCGUGAGGUGUUCGGUUAAGUCCUUUAACGAGCGAAACCCCUAUCGUCAGUUGCCAUCGGUUCGGCCGGGGACUCUGGCGAGACUGCCGCGUCCAAGUAGGAGGAAGGAGGGGACGACGUCAAGUCAUCAUGGCCCUUAUGACCUGGGCUACACACGUCCUACAAUGGUCGGUACAGCGGGUUGCGAAGCCGCGAGGCGGAGCCAAUCCCCAAAGCCGAUCCCAGUUCGGAUUGCAGGCUGCAACCCGCCUGCAUGAAGCCGGAGUUGCUAGUAACCGCGCGUCAGCCAUAGUGCGGUGAAUACGUUCCCGGGUCUUGUACACACCGCCCGUCACGUCAUGGGAGUUGGUAACGCCUGAAGCCGGUAGUCUGACCUAACUGGAGGACGCCGUCGAAGGCGGGACUGGCGACUGGGACGAAGUCGU